RNAcentral lists this ribosomal RNA (425 nucleotides) under uncultured bacterium. RNAcentral describes it as "partial 16S ribosomal RNA". It matches the Rfam family "Bacterial small subunit ribosomal RNA", at positions 354 to 796 of the family's 1533-position model. The record is from RNAcentral.
GUGGGGAAUAUUGCACAAUGGGGGAAACCCUGAUGCAGCCAUGCCGCGUGUGUGAAGAAGGCCUUCGGGUUGUAAAGCUCUGUCUUUGGGGACGAUAAUGACGGUACCCAAGGAGGAAGCCACGGCUAACUACGUGCCAGCAGCCGCGGUAAUACGUAGGUGGCAAGCGUUGUCCGGAUUUACUGGGCGUAAAGGGAGCGUAGGUGGAUAUUUAAGUGGGAUGUGAAAUCCCCGGGCUUAACCUGGGGGCUGCAUUCCAAACUGGAUGUCUAGAGUGCAGGAGAGGAGAGUGGAAUUCCUAGUGUAGCGGUGAAAUGCGUAGAGAUUAGGAAGAACACCAGUGGCGAAGGCGACUCUCUGGACUGUAACUGACACUGAGGCUCGAAAGCGUGGGGAGCAAACAGGAUUAGAUACCCCGGUAGUCC